This 348-nucleotide ribosomal RNA is filed under the name uncultured Streptococcus sp. RNAcentral's name for it is "bacterial SSU rRNA". It matches the Rfam family "Bacterial small subunit ribosomal RNA", at positions 1035 to 1382 of the family's 1533-position model. The record is from RNAcentral. Lineage: Bacteria; Bacillati; Bacillota; Bacilli; Lactobacillales; Streptococcaceae.
CAGGUGGUGGCAUGGUUGUCGUCAGCUCGUGUCGUGAGAUGUUGGUUAAGUCCCGCAACGAGCGCAACCCCUACUUGUUAGUUGCCAUCAUUCUAGUUGGGCACUCUAGCGAGACUGCCGGUAAUAAACCGGAGGAAGGUGGGGAUGACGUCAAAUCAUCAUGCCCCUUAUGACCUGGGCUACACACGUGCUACAAUGGUUGGUACAACGAGUUGCGAGUCGGUGACGGCGAGCUAAUCUCUUAAAGCCAAUCUCAGUUCGGAUUGUAGGCUGCAACUCGCCUACAUGAAGUCGGAAUCGCUAGUAAUCGCGGAUCAGCACGCCGCGGUGAAUACGUUCCCGGGCCUU